Molecule: long non-coding RNA, 13193 nt
Filed under: Homo sapiens (human)
Lineage: Eukaryota; Metazoa; Chordata; Mammalia; Primates; Hominidae
Description: HSALNT0352499
Source: RNAcentral
CCCCCGUUGACCAGGUCACCCCAUAGACCAGUGCUACAAAAGCCACCACUGAUCAAGUCCUCUCUGACCAGGCCCCCACUGAUUAGGUUCCACUGACCUGACCAGGCUGCCAUGACCAGGGUCCCACUGACAAGGGUCUCACUGAUGAGGACAUGCCCUGCUGACUAGGUGCCAUGUGACCAGGCCUCCACUGAAUAGCACCCCUUGACCGGGUCACCAGUGACCCAGCCCAUUCUGACAAGGCUACCACUAAGCCACAGCUGACCAGGUCUCCACUCACCAAGCCCUGCAGCCCAGGUUUGCACUGACCAGACACCAAACAUUUGUCUGCCACUAGGUCCCCACUCACCAAGACCUGCACUACUCGAUCCCUCUAAUGAGACCCUCUCUAAGCAGACCCUGGCUGACCAUUCCCCCAGUAAAUAGGCCUCACUGACCAAGUCCCAACUGACUAGUUCACUGACCAGGCCCACACUGACCAGGCCCUUCCUAAUCAUACCAGAAGGCCAAGUGGCAAUGAGAUGUUUCAUAUGGCAGGGGUAGGAGCAAGACAGAGAGAGGAAAGAGGUACCACACCCUGUUAGACAACCAGAUCACAUGAGGUCUCACUAUCAGGAGAUCAGCAUCAAGAAGAUCCUGCACCCACACCACCGCCCACUGUUUCCAGGCAGAAGCCUCCUGCAGAGGCCAAGCCUCUUGAGAAACUUCCACUAUGGCAGUGCAGAAGGAAAAUAUGGGCUUGGAGCCCCCAAAAAGGAGGCCACCAUCCUCCAGAUCCCGGAUUCAUAGGCCCACCAACAGCUCACACCCUCAGUAUGGAAAAGCUACAGGCACUCAACACCAGCCCAGCCCAUGAGAGCAGCCAUGGGGCUAAAGCCUGCAAAGCCACAGGUGCACUGCCCUAGUAGAGGUUUUCCAUGAGCCUCUGCCUCUGCAGAAGGCUACUCCCCCUUCCUACUACCCCCCAUCCUCCUACCACCCUACUGACAACCUACUCCUCCCCACCCUACCCCUCCUUUUCCUACCACCCCGAACCCCCUCCCAUUCAAGAUUAAAUCGCCUACCACCAGGCCCCAAAAUUAAGGAUUACAAUUCCAUAUGAGUUUUAUAUGGACACACAGUCAAUCCAUAUUAUUUGACCCAGAUACCCCAGAACCUCAUGUCCUUCUCACACAGCAAAACACAGUCAUGCAUGUUCAAAAGUUUCCAAAAUUCUUAACUCAUUCCAAAUAUAAAAAAUUCAAAGUCUCAUCUGAGACAAGGCUACAGUCCCUUCGGCCUAUCAGUCCCUGAGUUCAAAAGGCAUUUCUUUUCUUUCAAGAUACAAUGAUAGUACAAGCAUUAAGUAAGGUUUCUCAAUCCAAAGGGAAGAAAUUCCCCAGAAAAAUGACAAAAAUGUCAGUCCAAACCCCAGCAGGACAAUAUUCACUCAAUCUUUAAGCUCCAUAAUCAUCAAGAGAACUCACUAUCACGCAGACAGUAUUAAGGAGAUAGUGUUUCACCAGUUGUGAAGAAUCCGUCCCCCCUCAUUUUUCACCCCCACCCACAAAAUAAUCUCUCCUAUUCUCCCCACUCCCCCACCUCCAACCCCCACUCUUCUCCAUGAUUAAAUCAUCUCCCACCAGGCCCCACCUUUAACAUUCCCCAUUACAAUUUCACGAGAGUAUUGGUAGUGACACAGGGCCAAAUCAUAUUAUUCUCACCCAGGUCCCCCCACAUCUCAUAUCGUUGUCACACUGCAAAAUACAAUGAUGCCUUCUCUACAGUCCCCCAAAGUCUUAACUCAUUCCAGCAUUUACUGAAAUGUCCAAAGCCCAGUCUCAUCUGAGACAACGCUGCCAUCCCUUCUGCUCGAGCCUCUGAAAUACAAAGCAAGUUAACUACUUCCAAGGUACAAUGAUUGUAGAGACAUUGGGUAAGCAUUCCCAGCCAAAAGGAAGAAAUUUGUCAGAGGGAAGCACAAAACACAGAUGGGACUUGCAGACCCCAUGCAAGUCAAAAACCCAGCAGGAAAGUCAUUCCAUCCUACAGCUCCAAAUCAUCUUUCCUGAAAGGAUCUACAUCCCACAUCUAGAGCACAAGAGUGGAUGGCGGGGCUCCCAAGGCCUUGGGCAGCUCAGCUUCUGUGGCUGUGCAGGGUCUUUCCCCACAGCUGCCCUCGUGGGCUGGGCUGGUGGUCAGUGCCUGUGGCUUUCCCACACUGAGGGUGCAAGCAGUUGGUGGGUCUAUGAAUCUGGGGUCUGGAAAAUGGUUCCUCCCUGUAUGGGGGCAUCAACCCUGUAUGUUCCUUCUGCACUGCCCUAGUAAAGGUUUCCCAUGAGGCUCUGCCUCUUGGAAAAGCUUCUGCCCAGCUGGACACUGAGGUUUUUCCUUACAUACUCUUGAGUCUAGACAAAGGCUCCCAAGCCUGUGCACCUGCUGGCUUAACACUAUGUGGAAGCCACCAAGGCUUGCAGCUUGCACCCUCUGAAGCAGUGACCCAAGCUGUACCUGUGCAUCUUUCAGCCAUGGCUGGAGCUGGAGCUGGAGCUGCAGGGAUGCAGGCGGCACUGUCCUGAGGAUGGACACAGCAGCGCGACCAUGGGACUGACCCAGGAAACCAUUCUUUGGUCCUAGAACUCAGGGCCUUUGACAGCAAGCUCUGCUGCAAAGGUCUCUGAAAUGCCUUCAAGGCCUUUUUAACAUUGUCUUAGCUAUUAGCACUGGGCUCCAUUUUAUGCACAUUUCUGAAGCCUUCUUGAAUUUUCCCACUAAAAAUCAGCUUUUCUUUUUGACCUCUUGGGCAGGCUGCAAAUCAAACUUCAAAGCUCUGCUUCUCAUUUAAAUAUAAGUUUCAACUUGAGGUCAUUUAUUUGGUCACACAGAACACCACAGGCUGUUCAAUACAGACAAGAUACCUCUUGAGCUUUGCUGCCUAGAAGUUCAUUUCACCAGAUAUACCCUAAAUCAUCACCCUCAAGUUCAAAGUUUCACAGGUCACCAGGGCAGGGGCACCAUCCAGCCAAGUUCUUUGCUAAGGCAAAAGAAAAGUUACCUUGGCUUCUGCUCCCAGUAAGUUGUUCAUUUUCAUCUGAGACCUUCUAAGCCUGGCCUUCACUAUCCAUCCUUCAGUCACCCUUUUAAUUAUAACUAUUUAACACAUCUCUACAAUAGUCAAAACUUUCAUUCAUCUUUCUGUCUUCUUCCAAGCCCUCCAAACUGUGCAGCCUGCGGUCGUUACCCAGCUUCUGAACCUGCUUCUGAACUUGCGUCUACACUUUCAGCUAUCGUUGUGACAGCCUGGCAGUGUGGUAAAAGAAAAAAAGUCCAUUUUCAGGGGGAAAAUUCAAGAAGGCUUCAGAUAUUUGCAUAUAAAAGAAGCCAAAUGUUAAUAGUAAAAAAUCAGGAAAAAAACCUUGAGGGCAUUUCAUAGCUCCACUCUACAGUACAAAUUUUCUGUAGUAUUAUUUUAAAAAGAGGUUUAAUUGGCUCACGGUUCUGCAGGCUGUAAAGGGAACAUAGUGGCUUCUGCUUCUGGGAGGACUCAGGAAGUCUCCUACCAUACCAGAAGGCCAAGCGACAAUGAGAUGUUCCAUAUGGCAGGUGUAGGAGGAAGACAGAGAGAGGAAAGAGGUGCCACACUUGUUAUACAACCAGAUCUCAUGAGAACUCAGUAUCAGGAGAUCAGCAUCAAGAAGAUUAACCAUUGGUGAAGGAUCCACCCACACCACCCCCCACUGUUUCCACGUAGAAGCCUCCUGCAGAGGCAGAGCCUCUUGGAGAACCUCUACCAGGGCAGUGCAGAAGGAAAAUGUAGGCUUGGAGCCCACAUACAGGAGGCCACCAUCCUCCAGACUGCAGAUUCAUAGACCCACCAACAGCUUGCACUCUCAGAGCAGAAAAGCUACAGGCACUCCACACGAGCCCAGCCCAUGACAGCAGCCAUGGGGGCUACACCCUGCAAAGCCACAGGUGCCCUGCCCUAGUAGAGACUUUCCAUGAGCCUCUGCUUCUGAAGCAGGUUACUCCCCCCUCCUAGUACCCACCACCCUACUAACAACCUACUCCUCACCCUACCCACCCCUUUCCUUCCAUCCCCGGUCCCCCUCCCAUCCAUGAUUAAAUCACCUCCAGCCAGGUCCCACCUCCAACAUUAAGGAUUACAAUUCACAUGAGUUUUGGUAAAGAAACACAGCCAAAUCAUAUUAUUCUGACCUGAUACCCUGCAGUCUCUUGUCCUUCUCACAGAGCAAAAUAUAUUCAUGUCUUUUCAAAAUUUUCCAAAAGUCUUAACUCAUUCCAACAAUAACUCAAAUGUAAAAAAUUCAACAUCUCAUCUGAGACAAGUCUACAGUACCUUUUGCCUAUGAGUCCCUGAAUUUAAAAGGAUGUUCUUUCUUUCAAGGUACAAUAAUGGUACAGGCAUUGGGUAAGCUUUUUCAAUCCAAAGGGCAGAAAUUUCCCAGGAAAAUAACACAAAUGGGACCACAGGCCCAAUGCAAGUCCAAAACCCAGGAGGCCAGUAUCCAUUUAAUCUUACAGUUCUAAAAUCAUGAAAAGAACUCACCGUCACAAGGACAGCAAUAAGGAGAUAGUGUUUAAUGAUUUGUGAAGGAUCUGACCCCCCACCCCAAUUUUCACCCCUCACCCCCACCAUAAUUCCCCCAUUUUCCCUACACCCCCAUCUUCCAACCCCCACUCUGCACCAUGAUUAAAUCAUCUUCCACCAGGCCCCACCUUUAACAUUCCAAUUACAAUUCCACAUGAGUUUUGGUAGGGACACAGAGCUGAAUUUUAUUAUUCUUUCCCUCACUCCCCAAAUCUCAUGUCCUUCUCACAUUGCAAAAUACAAUGAUGCCUUCCCUAAAGUCCCAUAAAAUCUUAUAUCAUUCCAGCAUUUAUACAAAUGUCCAAAGCCUAAAGUCUCAUCUGACACAAGGCUACAGUCCCUUAGGCCCAUGAGCCUCUGAAAUAUAAAGCAAGUUAACUACUUCCAAGGUACAAUGCUUGUACAGGCAUUGGGUAAGCAUUCCCAGCCAAAAGGAAGAAUUUUGCCAGAAAAAAAAACAAAACACAGAUAGGACUUACUGGCCCCAUGAAACUCCAAACCCAGAAGGCCAGUCAUUCAAUCCUACAGCUCCAAAAUCACCCUUUUUGAAACCCUGUCCCACAUCCAGGACACAGGGGUGUGAGGGCUGGGCUCCCAAGGCCUCGGGCAGCUUGGCACCUGUGGCUUUGCAGGGUAUAUGCCCCAAGGGUGCCCUCAUGGGCUGGGCUGGUGAUGAGUGCCUGUGACUUUUCCACAUUGAGGAAACAAGUUUUGGGGGGGGGGGUCUAUGAAUCUGGGGUCUGCAUGAUGGUGGUCUCCAGUGUGGGAGUUCCAACCCCAUAUUUUCCUUCUGCACUGCCCUAGUAGAAGUUUGAUAUAAGGCUCUGCCUUUUUGGGAUGUUUUGCCUGGACACCCAGGAAUUUCCAUACAUCUUCCAAAAUCUAUAGAGAGGCUCCCAAGCCUCUAGUCUCACACUCCGUCCACCAGUGGCUUAACACUAUGAGGAUGUUACCAAGGUUUCUAGCCUGCAUCCUCUGAAGCAGUGACCUGAGCUGUACCUGUGCAUCUUUCAGCCAUGGCUGGAGCUUGAGCUGCAGGGAUGCAGGCAGCAGUGUUCUGAGGCUGCACAUAGAGGAGGCUCAUGGAACUGGCCAAGGAAACCAUGCUUCUCUCCUAGGCCCCAGGGCCCACAAUAGCAAGGGCUGCUGCAAAGGUCUCUGAAAUGCCUUCAAGGCCUUUUUCCCUAUUAUCUUGUCUAUUAGCACCGGGCUCCUUUUCAUGCAAGUUUCUGAAGCCUUCCUCAAUUUUCCCCCUGAAAAUCAGCUUUUCUUUUUGACCACUUGGCCAGGCUCCAAAUUUUCCUAAAUUUGAGUUCUGAGAGACGGGACUCAUUUAAUGUAAGUCCCAUCCAGAGGUUAUUUCCUCCAUCACACAUAAGAGCACAGGCUGUUCCAUGGGGACAGGACACCUCUUGAGAUUUGCUGCCCAGUUCAUUCCACCAGAUACUCAGUAAGUCAUCACCCUCAAGUUCAGUUUCACAGAUCUCCAGGGCAGGGUCACCGUGCAGCCACAUUCUUUGUUAAGGCAAAACAAAAGUCACUUUGGCUUCUGUUCCCAGUAAGUUCCUCAUUUUCAUUUGAGACCUUCUAAGUCUGGCUUUCACUCACCAUUUUCCUGUGAGCCUUCUGGUCACAAGUAUGUAACAAUUCUUUACAAAGAUCCAAACUUUCCCUCAACUUCUUGUCUGCAAAGCCCUCCAAACUCUCUGAACUCUGUCUGCUACCCCCUUCUGAACCUGCUUCUACAUUAUCAGCUAUCUUUGCUGCAGCCUGACAAUGUAGUAAGGGAAGACAAGUCCAUUUUCAGGGGGAAAAUUCAAGAAGGGUUCAGAGACUUGAAUGAAAAGAAGCUGAGUGCUCACUACCAAGACAAUAGGGAAAAGGCCUUGAAGACAUUUAAUAGACCCACUUUGCAGUACUAAUUUUCUCUAUGAUCAUAAAGAAGAGGUUUACUUGGCUCAUGAUUCUGCAGGCUAUAAGGAAGUAUAGUGGCUUCUACAUCUAAGAGGAAUCAGGAAGCCUCCCAGUCAUACCAGAAUGUCAAGGGGCAAUGAGAUGAUUCAUGUGGCAGGAGGAGGAGCAAGACAGGGAGAGGAGAGAGGUCCCACACCCUAUUAUACAACCAGAUCUCAUGAGAACUCACUAUCACAAGGUCAGCAUCACAAAGAUGGUGCUUAACCACUGGUGAAGGAUUCGCCCCCUACCCCCAACUCCCACUAUUUCCAGGCAGAAGCCUGAGGCAGAGGCAGAGCCUCUUGGAAAACUCUACUAGGGAAGUGCGGAAGGGAAAUAUGAGCUUGGAGCACCCACACAGAUGGCCACCAACCUCCAGACCCCAGAUUCAUAGACCCACCAACAGCUCACACCUUGUGUGGAAAAGCUACAGGCACUCAACACCAGCCCAGCCCAUGAGAGCUGCGGCAGGGGCUAAACCCUGCAAAGCCACAGGUGCAUUGCCCUAGUAGAGGGUUUCCCAUGAGCCUCUGCCUCUGCAGCAGGCUGCUCCCCCUUCCUCCCACCCACCACCCUCCCACCACCCUACUGCCAGCCUACUCCUCCCCACCCUAACCAACCCUUUUCCUUCCACCCCAACCCCUUCCAGUCCAUGAUUAAAUCAUCUCCCCCAGGCCCCAACUUCAACAUUUGGAAUUAAAAUUCCACAUGAAUUUUCAUAGGGACACACAGCCAAACCAUAUUAUUCUGACCCUGCUAUCCCAGAAUCUCAUGUCCUUAUCACAGAGUAAAAUACAAUCAUGCCUUUUCAAAAGUUCCAACAGCCUUAACUCAUUCCAAAUGUAAAAAGUUCAAAGUCUCACCUGAGACAAGGCUACUGUCCCUUCUGCAUAUGAGUCCCUGAAUUUAAAAGGGAUUUCUUUUCUUUCAAGGUACAAUGAUGGUACAGGCAUUGUGUAAGCUUUCUCAAUCCAAAGGGAAGAAAUUUCCCAUAAAAAUAACACAAAUGGGACCACAGGCCUAAUGGAAGUCCAAAACCCAGCAGGACAGUAUUCACUCAAUCUUUAAGCUCCAUAAUCAUCAAGAGAACUCACUAUCAUGCAGACAGCAUUAAGGAGAUAGUGAUUAACCAUUUGUGAAGAAUCCACCCCCCUAUCCUCAUCUUUCACCCCCACCCACAAAAUAAUCUCCCCCAUUCUCCCCAAACCCCUACUUCCAACCCCCACUCUUCUCCAUGAUUAAGUCACCUUCCACCAGGCUCCAACUUUAACAUUCCCCAUUACGAUUCCACAUGAGUAUUGGUAGGGACACAGAACCAAAUCAUAUUAUUCUGGCCUUUGGUCCCCAAAUCUUGUAUCCUUGUCACACUGCAAAAUACAAUGAUGACUUCUCUACUGUCCCCCAAUGACUUAACUCAUUCCAGCAUUUACUGAAAAGUCCAAGGACUUACAGACCCCAUGAAGUCAAAAACCCAGCAGGCCAGUCAUUGAAUCCUGCAGCUCCAAAUCAUCUUUUCUGAAUCUACAUCUCACAUCUAGAGCACAGGCAUGUGAUGGCUGGGCUCCCAAGGCCUUGGGCAACUCUGCACCUGUGGAUUUGCAUGAUAUAUCCCCCACAGCUGCCCUCAUGGGCUGGGCUGUGUUGAGUGCCUGUGGCUUUUCCACACUAAGGGUGCCAGCUGUUGGUGCAUCUAUGAAUCUAAGGUCUGGAGAAUGGUGUCUCCAUAUUUAGGGACUCCAACCCCAUUUUCUCCUUCUGUACUGCCCUGGUAAAGGUGUGCCAUGAGGCUCUGCCUCUUGGAAAAGCUUCUGCCUGAACACCCAGGUUUUUCCGUACAUACUCUGGAGUCUAGACACAGGCCCCCAAGCCUCUAGUUUUGUGCUCUGUGCAGCCGCUGGCUUAACACUAUGUGGAAGACACCAAGGCUUGGAACUUGCACCCCUGAAGCAGGGAUGCAAACUCUACCUGUGCAUCUUUCAGCCAUGACUGGAGUUGGAAAUGGAGCUGCAGGGAUGCCGGCAGCAGUGUCCUGAGGCUGCACAUAGAGGGGGCUCAUGGAACUGGCCCAGGAAACGAUGCUUCUCUCCUAGGCCCCAGGGCCUGUGACAGCAAGGGCUGCUGCAAAGGUCUCUGAAAUGCCUUCAAGGUCUUUUCCUUAUUGUCUUGGCUAUUAGCACCGGGCUCCUUUUCGUGCAAAUUCCUGAAGCCUUCUUGAAUUUUCCCACUGAAAAUCGGCUUUUCUUUCUGACCACUUGGCAAGGCUGCAAGUUUUCCAGACUUUUGAGUUCUGUUUCUCAUUUAAUAUAAGAGUUGUGACUCAUUUAAUGUAAGACCCAUCCAGAGGUCAUUUCCUCAGUCACACAAAAGGGCAAGGGCUGUUUCAUGCAGACAGGACACCUCUUGAGCUUUGCUGCCCAGAAGUUCAUUCCACCAGAUACUCACUAAGUCAUCACCCUCAAGUUCAAAGUUUCACAUAUCUCCAGGGCAGGGUCAAUGUGCAGCCACAUUCUUUGCUACAGCAAAACAAAACUAACCUUGGCUCCUAUUCCCAGUAAGUUCCUCAUCUUCAUCUGAGACCUUCUAAGUCUGAUCUUUACUGUCUAUUUUCCUGUGAGCCUUCUGAUCACAAGUAUUUAACAAUUCUUUACAAAGAUCCAAAUUUCCCCUCAAUUUCUUGUCUUGGAAGCCCUCCAAACUCUCCUGAACUCAGUCUGCUACCCCCUUCUGAACCUGUUCCUGCAUUAUCACCUAUCUUUGUCAAAGCCUGGCAAUGUGGUAUGGAAGACAAGUCCAUUUUCAGGGGGAAAAUUCAAGGAGGAUUCAGAGACUUGAAUGAAAAGAAGCUGAGUACUGAUAGCCAAGACAUGGGGGAAAAGGCCUUGAAGACACCUAAUAGAUCUUCUUUGCAUUAAAAAUGCUCUCAAUGAUCAAAAAGAAAAGAAGUUUAAUUGUUAAUGAUUCUGCAGGAUGUAAGGAGGCAUACUAGUUUCUGCAUCUCAGAGGACUCAGGAAGCCUCCCAAUCACACCAGAAUGUCAAGGGGCAAUGAGAUGUCUCAUAUGCCAGGAGCAGGAGCAAGCAUGAGAGAGGAAAAAGGUGUCAUGCCCUAUUAUACAACCAGAUCUCAUGAAAACUCACUAUCAUGAAGACAGCAUCAAGCACAUGCUGCCUAACCAUUGGUGAAGGAACUGCCUCCCACACCCACCUCCCACUGUUUCCAGGCAGCAGCCUGCUGCAGAUGCAGAGUUCUUGGGAAACCUCUACUAGGGCAGUGCAGAAGGAAAAUAUGGACUUGGAGCCCCCACAUAGGGGGCUACCACCGUCCAGACCCCAGAUUCACAGACCCACCAACAGCUGGCACCCUCAGUGAGGAAAAGCUACAGACCCUCAAUACCAGUCCCGCGCAUGAGAACAGCUGAGGAGCUAAACCCUGCAAACCACAGGUGCACUGCCCUAGUAGAGGGUUUUCCAUGAGUCCCUCACUCUGCAGCAGGCUACUCCUCCUUCCUACUACCACCCACCCUCCCACCACUCUACUACCGACCCACUCCUCCCAAUCCUACCCAUCCCUUUUACCUUCCACCACCACCAACCUCCCGUCCAUAAUUAAGUCACCCGCUUCAACAUUAGGGAUUACGAUUCCGCAUGAGAUUCAUAGGGACACACAGCCAAACCAUAUUAUUCUGACCCUGAUAUCCCAGAAUCUCAUGUCCUUAUCACAGAGCAAAAUGCAAUCAUGACUUUUCAAAAAUCUCCAAAAGUCUUAACGCAUUCCAAAUGUAAAAAAAUUCAAAGUCUCUCCUGAGACAAGGCUACAGUCUCUUCUGCCUAUGAGUCCCUGAAUUUAAAAUGGAGUUCUUUUCUUUCCAGGUACAAUGAUGGUACGGGCAUUGGGUAAGCUUUCUCAGUCCAAAGGGAAGAAAUUUCCCAUAAAAAUAGCACAAAUGGGCCCACAGGCCCAACACAAGUCCAAAACUCAGCGGGACAGUAUUCACUCAAUCCCACAGCUGCAAAUAUCAUCAAGAGAACUCACUAUCACGCAGGCGGCAUUAAGGAGAUAGUGUUUAAACAUUUGUGAAGGAUCUGCCCCCCUAACCUUACCUUUUACCCCCACCCACAAAAUAAUCUCCCCCAUUCUCCCCACACCCCUACCUCCAACGCCCACUCUUCUCCAUGAAUAAAUCACCUCACACCAGGCCCCACGUUUAACAUUCACCAUUACAAUUCCAAAUGAGUUUGGUAGGGAUGCAGACCCAAAUCGUAUUAUUCUGACCCUGACCCCCCAUAUCUCAUGUUGUUCUCACACUGCAAAAUACAAUGAUGCCUACUCUACAGUUUCCCAAUGUCUUAGCUCAUUCCAGCAUUUACUGAAAUGUCCAAAGCCCAAAGUCUCUUCUGAGACAAGACUGCCAUCCCUUCUGCCCCUGAGCCUCUGAAAUACAAAGCAAGUUAAUUACCUCCAAGGUAUGACUGUCCAGGCAUUGAGUAAGAACCUCCACCCGAAAGGAAGAUUUUUUGCCAGAGAGAAGAACAAAACACAAACGGGACUUACAGGUUCCCAUGACAUUCCAAAACCCAGCAGGCCAGUUAUUCAAACCUACAGCUCCAAAAUCAUCCUUUUUAAGUCCUUGUCCCACAUCUAGGACACAAGGGCGUGAGGGCUGGGCUCCCAAGGCCUUGGGCAGCUCUGUACCUGUGGCUUUGCAGUGUUCAGCCCCCGCAGCUGCCCUCAUGGGCUGGGCUAGUGUUGAGCACCUGUAGCUUUUCCACAAUGAAGAUGCAAGAUGUUAGUGAGUCUAUGAAUCUGACGUUUCAGAAUGGUGCUCCCUGUGUGGUGGUUCCAACCCUAUAUGUUCCUUCCAUACUGCCCUAGUAAAGGAUUCCCAUGAGGCUCUGCCUCUUUGAAUAGUUUCGACCUGGACACCCAGGUUUUUCUGUAAAUCCUCUGUAGUCUACAUGAAGGAUUCUGAGCCUCUAGUCUUGGCCUUUUUGCACCUGCUGGCUCAACACUAUGUGGAAGCCACCAAGGCUUGCAGCUUGCAACCUCUGAAGCAGUGACCCAAGAUGUACCUUUGUAUCUGUCAGCCAUGGUUGGAGCUGGAGCUUCAGGUAUGCAGCCAGCAGUGUCCUGAGGAUGGACACAGCAGCAGGGCCAUGGGACUGGAUAAGGAAAUCAUUCUUUUCUCCCAGGCCUGGGGGCCUGUGACAGCAAGGGUUGCUGCAAAAGUCUCUGAAGUGCCUUCAAGGCCUUUUUAUCCUUGUCUUGGCUAUUAGCACUCAAUUCCAUUUUAUGCACAUUUCUGAAAUCUUCUUGAACUUUCCCACGGAAAAUCAGCUUUUCUUUUUGACCACUUGGCCAGCCUGCAAAUUUUCCAAACUUUUAAGCUCUCCGUCUCAUUUAAAUAUAAGUUUCACCUUGAGGUCAUUUCUUUGGUCACAUAUAAGACACCUCAGGGUGUUUGGCACAGACCAGACACCUCUUGAGCUUUGCUGCCUAAAAGUUCAUUCCACCAGAUACACUCUAAAUCAUCACUCUCAAGUUCAAAGUUUCACAGAUCUCCAGGUUAACGGCAUCGUGCAGUAACGUUCUUUGCUAAGGGAAAACAAAAGUGACCUUGGCUCCUCAUCCCAGCAAGCUCCUCAUUUUCAUGUGAGACCUUCUAAGCCUGGCCAUCACUGUCCAUCAUUCUGUCAUCUUUUUAAUUAUAACUAUUUAACAAGUCUCUACACUGGUCCAAACUUUUCCACAUCUUCCUGUCUUCUUCCAACACCUCCAAACUCUCCAACCUCUGGCCGUUACACACUUCUCAACCUGCUUCUACAUUUUCAGCUAUGUUUGUUGCAGCCUGGCAAUGUGGUAAAAGAAGCAAAGUCUGUUUCAGGAGAAAAAUUCAGGCAGGCUUCAGAUAUUUGCCGGAAAAGAAGCUGAGUGCUCAUUGCCAAGAAAAUAAGGAAAAGGCCUUGAAGGCAUUUCAUAGCUCCAUUUCACAGCACUAAUUUUCUGUAUAAUCAGAAAGAAAAGAGGUUGAACUGGCUCAUGGUUCUGCACGCUUUAAAUAAAUCAUAGAGGCUACUGCAUCUGGGAGGACUCAGGAAGCCUCCCAAUCAUUCCAGAAGACCAAGCACCAAUAGUAUGUUUUAUAUGGCAGAAGUAGAAACAAGACAGAGAGAGGAAAAAGGUGCCACACCCUGUUAUACAACCAGAUUUCCUGAGAACUCUCUAACACAAGGUCAGCAUCAAGAAUGCUUAACCAUUGGUGGAGCCAUUGGUGAAAGAUCUGCCCCCUACCACCCACAACCCCCACUGUUUCCAAGCAGAAGCCUGAGGCAGAGGCAGAGCUACUAGGAAAACCUCUACUAGGACAAAGCAGAAAAAAAACAAAAAACAAAAAAAAAGGCUUGGUGGCCCCACACAAGAGGUUACCAUCCUCCAGACUCUCUAACCUCUGGCCAUUACCCAAUUCAGAACUGGCUUCUACAUUGUCAGCUAUCUGUGUCACAGCCUGGCAAUGUGGUAAAAGAAGAAGGGUCCAUUAUCAAGGGAAAAAUCAAGAAGGCCUCCAAUAUUUGCAUUAAAAAAAACAGUGCUAACAGCCAAGAGAUUGCGGGAAAGGCCUAGAAGGCAUUUCAUAUCUUCACCUUGCAGCAUUGAU